Molecule: ribosomal RNA, 497 nt
Filed under: uncultured bacterium
Lineage: Bacteria
Description: partial 16S ribosomal RNA
Rfam family: Bacterial small subunit ribosomal RNA
Source: RNAcentral
GACGAACGCUGGCGGCGUGCCUAAUACAUGCAAGUUGAGCGCUGAAGGUUGGUACUUGUACCGACUGGAUGAGCAGCGAACGGGUGAGUAACGCGUGGGGAAUCUGCCUUUGAGCGGGGGACAACAUUUGGAAACGAAUGCUAAUACCGCAUAAAAACUUUAAACACAAGUUUUAAGUUUGAAAGAUGCAAUUGCAUCACUCAAAGAUGAUCCCGCGUUGUAUUAGCUAGUUGGUGAGGUAAAGGCUCACCAAGGCGAUGAUACAUAGCCGACCUGAGAGGGUGAUCGGCCACAUUGGGACUGAGACACGGCCCAAACUCCUACGGGAGGCAGCAGUAGGGAAUCUUCGGCAAUUGACGAAAGUCUGACCGAGCAACGCCGCGUGAGGGAAGAAGGGUUUCGGAUCGGAAAACUCUGUUGGUAGAGAAGAACGUUGGUGAGAGUGGAAAGCUCAUCAAGUGACGGUAACUACCCAGAAAGGGACGGCUAACUACGUG